RNAcentral lists this ribosomal RNA (253 nucleotides) under uncultured bacterium. Its description in RNAcentral is "partial 16S ribosomal RNA". It matches the Rfam family "Bacterial small subunit ribosomal RNA", at positions 524 to 776 of the family's 1533-position model. The record is from RNAcentral.
UACGUAGGUGGCAAGCGUUGUCCGGAUUUAUUGGGUUUAAAGGGUGCGUAGGCGGCCCUGUAAGUCAGUGCUGAAAUAUCCCGGCUUAACCGGGAGGGUGGCAUUGAUACUGCGGGGCUAGAGUACAGAUGAGGUAGGCGGAAUUGACGGUGUAGCGGUGAAAUACUUAGAUAUUGUCAAGAACACCUAUAGCGAAGGCAGCUUACUAGGCUGUAACUGACGCUGAGGCACGAAAGUGUGGGGAUCAAACAGG